Molecule: long non-coding RNA, 1139 nt
Organism: Rosa chinensis
Lineage: Eukaryota; Viridiplantae; Streptophyta; Magnoliopsida; Rosales; Rosaceae
Exons: 3
Source: RefSeq, a predicted model, not a curated record
CCAUUUUCGUCCGGCCUCCUUUUUUUGGAAAUACUGUUUCUCUUCUCUCUCUCUCGUUUCCGCCCGAACUCAGAAACAGAGCACAAGCUCUUCGUGCAUUCUCUCCUCCCUCAGGCCACCAAACGGCGUCGGACCACCUCCAUUGUCUUCGUCUCGACCUUGCGCAGCUGCCAGGGGCAGCCAUGAGCCGCGACACAGCCGGCAGCGGCGGUGGGAAGCUCCGAACGGUUUAAGCCCGAUUUCGUUCCAAUCGUGAUAUCUCGAGCUACAAGCCACCAAAGCUCAUCAAACUUCACCCACAAGCUCGCCUCAACCUCCUAAAGCUUCCAAAAGCAACCUUGCACGGCGGCGUGGCCUGUGGCGGCGACUGGAAGCUCACCCCGAUCUAGAUCGAAACCGGACUGUGGAGCUUGAUAUCUCGAGUUGUAGAGGUUCGUUUUGAGUGAUUAUUGAACUGGGGAGCUCGGCAUGAGUUUCUGAACAAAUCUCCAGAAGGGAUCGAAGCCAUUGGAGGACGUUUUUACGUCGAACUGGAGCUCGCCGGUUUCUGCAGAUUUUCCGGCCAACUCGACUGUUUUGGGUUUAUUGUGCAGGUUAGAAUAUCGGGUGAUCGUUAUCGAAGCUGAGGUGGACUUUCCGUCACGUGGGUGUAGAAGGGCGCUUAUACUUGUAGUCUUCCGCUGUGUAGUGAAUUGGAUGAGUAACCUGAACAAAUUGGACUUUGCUCCAUUGGGAACAGCUGGCUCUGGAUAUCACAGGUGGGUUCGUGAUGUCUGUCAGCAUCUCAAGGCCUAUGGAAUUCUGGAUAUGAUUCUCGAGCCUAGCCAGGACGUGCUAACUGUUGAGGAAGCUCAAGCUUUGGAAGCAAAUAGAGCAGCUUUAGAGGCAAAUAAGGCGAAAGCCAUCAUCCUAAUGACUCGUCAUAUGGAUGAUUCGCUCCAGUACGAGUAUAUGAAUAAAAAAGACCCCAGAAGGCUGUGGGUCUCACUCAAAGAAAGAUUUGCCAACGUCCGUAACUCCUUGCUUCUUGACCUAGAAGUGAGAUGGCAUAGCCUCAGCUUCUGUGAUUUCAAGUCAGUUCUUGACUAUAACUCGAAAGCACUUCAUAUUAAAUCCUUAAUGGAAUUAUGUGGUAAAGA